Molecule: non-coding RNA, 414 nt
Organism: Zootermopsis nevadensis
Lineage: Eukaryota; Metazoa; Arthropoda; Insecta; Blattodea; Termopsidae
Source: RefSeq, a predicted model, not a curated record
UAAGCCCACAAAAGUCUACUGGAAACAGCCUUCAUCGACGGUGGCGUCGUUAUGAAUCAUCAGACGGUCAUAAGUGAUGACGUCUGCGAUAUCUCAGCUCGACAUUUUGAGCAUGUCGAGUUUCGUACUAACUGUCGACACUUGGUCCUUGCCAGAUGAGCGUCUUCCCUUGGAACAGUUGUCUUCUCAGCAUCCCACAAUUGGCUGAUAAUACCAAGUCCCCAAGGAAGAAUGCCAGAACUGCUGGCUCCCUGCUGAGAGGAAUCAACUUUCAAAUAGAAGCUCCAUGUUAGACAGCUCUUUCAUCAGCGUCCAUAAAAGACACACUUAACUUGACAAGGUUUGUAUGUCAUGAAAUGAAAUUCAUCAUGGAUAAACUUCUAAUGUCCUUACAGAAUAAAUGAAUUCAUGUGA